UAAAUGGCCUUUCUUGAGGCUCCCAAUCAUUUUCAAAAAAACUUUUU
Molecule: non-coding RNA, 47 nt
Organism: Thiorhodovibrio sp.
Lineage: Bacteria; Pseudomonadati; Pseudomonadota; Gammaproteobacteria; Chromatiales; Chromatiaceae
Source: Rfam